Molecule: long non-coding RNA, 971 nt
Organism: Hemiscyllium ocellatum (epaulette shark)
Lineage: Eukaryota; Metazoa; Chordata; Chondrichthyes; Orectolobiformes; Hemiscylliidae
Exons: 2
Source: RefSeq, a predicted model, not a curated record
GAGCUCCUUCUAAGUGUUCUCACGGGAAAGUCCGCCGCUCCAAUGGUCACUCCACAAAGUGUCCGCUCCGCUUCCUUUGCAGACUUUGGCCCCGUCAGUCACACACACUCUCUCUCUCUCUCUCCCUUCCUCGAUCUCAGUUCGGUCCGUUCGCCCCGGCGGGCCGCUCGCUCACUUUCCACCCGCUGUCGCUCUUCUUCCUCCUCCUCCUCCUCCUCCUGCUGCUGCUGCUGCUGCUGCGUGUAGCCUGAACAUGGCGCUGCUCCGCCGGUGAUGGGCACAGAAGUCAGCCUACAAAGCAGUUUGUUAUCCCACCAUGCCCCAAAAGCUGCAAAAUCUGAGUGACACCUGGGAAAGUUUGAAACAGAAGCUUCAGUGCUGUCGAUGGAAGAUCUAAUCUGGAUAAUGCCAGACAAACAUGAGCAGCCUCCAGGAAGCAGGCACCUAGGGAGCAAGGAAGUCAACACUCCUAUAUGAUAACUACAUGAGAAGGCCACUGCAGGAGAAUGCUGAACACUUUUGUCCAACAUGGCCUUUCUACUCCCAGCUCACGACUGGUCAAAGGUUUUAGGACGGUCAACAAAAUGGUUUUAAAGAUACCAUGAAAGUGAUUGAAUUUCACUUAAACAGCAAGGAAGAGGAUGCACUGAAUUGUUCACAGUGACUUGCUUCACCGAGUCCUAACUGCUAAUAUAGAUUGGUCUUUGUUUUAAUGCUAUUUCUCUCAUUUAUCUUACCUUUUCCAUUGUACUAUGUGCAGCUAAACCAAGUCUGCACCUCACCAUGUGUUAGAUUUGUUCCCACAAUCCUUCUUUAGGAUUGGGAUCUACUCAGGCCCAUCUGGUCUGCUGUGAUAGAAGAAAUUCACUUCCUGCUCUAAUUAGAAGAGGGUCCAUUAUUGAACAACAGAGAGUUUAUUGCACAUUAGCAACUAGUUACAGAUUAUAUUAAAAUUGAAGAGAAUCUGGAAA